This 324-nucleotide ribosomal RNA is filed under the name uncultured eukaryote. RNAcentral's name for it is "partial 18S ribosomal RNA". It matches the Rfam family "Eukaryotic small subunit ribosomal RNA", at positions 1470 to 1796 of the family's 1831-position model. The record is from RNAcentral.
CCCUUAGAUGUUCUGGGCCGCACGCGCGCUACACUGAUGAAUUCAACGAGUUUUCCACCUUGACCGAGAGGUCCGGGAAAUCUUUUCAACUUUCAUCGUGCUGGGGAUAGAUUAUUGCAAUUAUUGAUCUUGAACGAGGAAUUCCUAGUAAGCGCGAGUCAUCAGCUCGCGUUGAUUACGUCCCUGCCCUUUGUACACACCGCCCGUCGCUCCUACCGAGUGGGUGAUCCGGUGAACUAUUCGGACUCCGGUUAUUCCAGCAUUUGGUUUUGCUGGGGAAAGUUUCGUGAACCUUAUCACUUGGAGGAAGGAGAAGUCGUAACA